GGCCCCUCCGCACGGCCCCCCCGGCCCCCCCCGCAGCUUGGAGUGUAAGCAAGUCCUUCGUUAAGUCUACUUGGUUUAACCCUUCACGUGUCUGGCGUGUCUCCCUACGUCGGUAUCCGACCCUCCUUCCCCACCUUGCGGUCACACUGAGGGAGUGAGACGGGAGAACAUAACAAUUUGCUCCUGCAGAUUGCAACAACCCUAACUAAUAUCAGGAAUCAUGCUAUCUGUGUUGGAAGAGAAGAAACCUCUGGGAAUCCUUGCAUGAAAAGUCCCUAAAGAAACAAACGGCAAAGUGGCGGCACUGAAAUCUGGGAGAGAAAGAGAUGGUGUAUAGAGGGCCCAGCAAAGAUUAAGCUUAUAGCUGUGACCGACUCAGCAUAGCCUAAACUUCAAGGAAGAUGUUUUCUGAAUUUCUUACACCUAAAAAUCUUCAUGGGUAGGAAUGAUUGGAAGAAGAAUAGACACCUGCAAAGGAGAAGGCUUCGUCAUAUGCUGCUGUUGCUACAGCUAAAUACUAUUGUCUCUGGAAUCAGCAAGACUUUGAUUUGUCACUGA
This 558-nucleotide long non-coding RNA is filed under the name Apteryx rowi (Okarito brown kiwi). Its description in RNAcentral is "lncRNA (ENSARWG00000010130.1)". The record is from RNAcentral. Lineage: Eukaryota; Metazoa; Chordata; Aves; Apterygiformes; Apterygidae.